UAAUUCUUCUCUUUAUCAUGAGAAAGAAGCGGGAAGAAAGACUUCUUUCUAUUAUUCAGAACCCCAAACAUCAGCAUAUGUAGUCAACUGGAUUGUCACAGUCACCAAAGAACCCAAGUUCAGCCGACCUAGAGCAGUUCCUGAGCCAUCUGUUUGGAAAUGCUCCAAAGGAAAGAAUGAACCUGGCAAGAAUAGGAGAUUUUGGACGCAAACAGGAAACUGUGACAAAUACACUUCAGGAUCCUAUAAUGCACCAACUCCAAGGAAGAGAAAUCCACAGGCACAAACAUUCUCCAAGACUAAAACAACCAUUCAGCACCGAAAAGACAUGGAAGUGAACCACAAACGAGAAGGGUAUGAAGACAGGAGGGAGAUGAAGAAAGUACCUGAAUUCACAAGAACAACCUAAAUUGCAGAAAGAUAGGGGAAUUCUCAAGAGGAGAAACCAAACACGAUAAGAAUGCAAAUUCCAAAAAUAACACGUAGGAAGUACACUGUAACACUUCAAAAGUGAUUAAAUUUUAAUCCUUCA
Long non-coding RNA from Pezoporus flaviventris, 532 nucleotides. RefSeq lists it as uncharacterized. The transcript has 4 exons. NCBI's taxonomy places the organism in Eukaryota, Metazoa, Chordata, Aves, Psittaciformes, Psittacidae. The record is from RefSeq and is a predicted model, not a curated record.